AGCAGUGACAUCCCGACAAAGGGGCAUUACGUGUGCCUGCGCUCGCAACCCCCACAUGCACGCACACCCAUGCGUAUUGUUUAGCGCGCUCUCUCUCUCUCUCUGGAAAAGGCUGUCUGGUUAACAAAGAGGCGCACGCGCAGUGAUCACAAGACUCCGUGUGUGAGUGCGUGCGUCCAAGUCUGUCCGGUUACGCUCAAAAGCGUUGUUGGUUAUGUGUAUGGGAAGGAACGAGAGAGAGAAGCGGGGUGUGUGUGCGUGGUGUUUCUGGGUGGAAGUGAGUUUGCGAUUAUUGCAUGAGCCCCCUGCGUCUGGUUCUAUGUCUGGCGAAAGGGAAUGGGGACUUUGUUCCUUGACCGGUCCCGGCACCCUCGAUAGGCUUUGCCAAUCAAUGGUCCAUGCAAAUGGAACCAGGCCACA
Molecule: ribosomal RNA, 420 nt
Filed under: Niphargus aggtelekiensis
Lineage: Eukaryota; Metazoa; Arthropoda; Malacostraca; Amphipoda; Niphargidae
Description: partial large subunit ribosomal RNA
Source: RNAcentral